GUGGAUUUUCAUUAUUAAUAUGGAGAAAUAAUGGAACUUCCACAUAAAAUGAGAGAGUGUGUGUGUGUGUGUGUGUGUGUGUUCCAAAACAUAGGACGAUCGUUACGAGGAGGGUAUAUAUAGGCUGGCAAAUGUUUUGUGAAAAAUUUUUUUUUUCUGUCUGGAGAUAAUGGAGUUAUUACAUUAUCUGGCUCAAUUAUCUCACAGGCAGAGAGGAGGGAAUUAUCUGUUUGUAUUUGGAGUGUCACACUUUGUCACUGUAUUAUUAUUGGCUGUAACCUUUGUGUCCCUGUCCCCCACAAGGUCCAUGUGGGAGUGCCCCUUGCAUGGGGACUUGCAUAAAAGCCAGUGUGGCACCCAUUAAAACCAUUCCUGUUACACCCUUCAUCAAGUUUCAGCUGAUGUUUGGGUACCUGCCUGCU
Molecule: non-coding RNA, 422 nt
Organism: Pelobates cultripes (western spadefoot toad)
Lineage: Eukaryota; Metazoa; Chordata; Amphibia; Anura; Pelobatidae
Source: the annotation of a GenBank genome assembly